This 54-nucleotide transfer RNA is filed under the name Plectus acuminatus. Its description in RNAcentral is "tRNA-Pro". The record is from RNAcentral. Lineage: Eukaryota; Metazoa; Nematoda; Chromadorea; Plectida; Plectidae.
UAGUAGUUAGUUUAUUAAAAAUUUUUUAUUUGGAAUAAAAAGAUUCUAUACUGG